ACGGGGGGGCAAGCGUUGUUCGGAAUUACUGGGCGUAAAGGGCUCGUAGGCGGCCAACUAAGUCGGACGUGAAAUCCCUCGGCUUAACCGGGGAACUGCGUCCGAUACUGGAUGGCUUGAGUUUGGGAGAGGGAUGCGGAAUUCCGGGUGUAGCGGUGAAAUGCGCAGAUAUCAAGAGGAACACCUGCGGCGAAGGCGGGUUGCUGGGCCGACACUGACGCUGAGGCGCGAAAGCUAGGGGAGCGAACGGGA
Molecule: ribosomal RNA, 252 nt
Filed under: uncultured prokaryote
Description: partial 16S ribosomal RNA
Rfam family: Bacterial small subunit ribosomal RNA
Source: RNAcentral